Non-coding RNA from Podarcis lilfordi (Lilford's wall lizard), 75 nucleotides. NCBI's taxonomy places the organism in Eukaryota, Metazoa, Chordata, Lepidosauria, Squamata, Lacertidae. The record is from the annotation of a GenBank genome assembly.
GGAAGAACUGUAGCUCAAUGGUAGAGUAUCUGCCUUGCAUGCAAAGGGUUUGAGUCUCAAUCCUUGGCACCUCCA